GACGAACCGUACGAACGUUAUUCGGAAUUACUGGGCUUAAAGGGUGCGUAGGCUGUGCGGAAAGUUGGGCGUGAAAUACCUCAGCUUAACUGAGGAACUGCGUUCAAAACUACCGUGCUUGAGGGAGACAGAGGUAAGCGGAACUGAGGGUGGAGCGGUGAAAUGCGUUGAUAUCCUCAGGAACACCGGUGGCGAAAGCGGCUUACUGGGUCUCUUUUGACGCUGAUGCACGAAAGCUAGGGUAGCAAACGGG
Molecule: ribosomal RNA, 253 nt
Filed under: uncultured bacterium
Lineage: Bacteria
Description: partial 16S ribosomal RNA
Rfam family: Bacterial small subunit ribosomal RNA
Source: RNAcentral